ACCGCCUGCGAGGAUCAAAACUUAUUUGGAAUUACCGGCUGAGUUCUUUGAUGUUAACCUUUGGCUGUUUUUCUGAGGCAUUCU
Small nucleolar RNA from Papaver somniferum (opium poppy), 84 nucleotides. The record is from RefSeq and is a predicted model, not a curated record. NCBI's taxonomy places the organism in Eukaryota, Viridiplantae, Streptophyta, Magnoliopsida, Ranunculales, Papaveraceae.